CGUUCCCGGACCUUGUACACACCGCCCGUCAAGCCAUGGAGUCGGAGGACCUGAAGGCAGUUGCUGUGAGGCGCUGUUUAGGGUAAACCGAUGACUAGGCU
This 101-nucleotide ribosomal RNA is filed under the name uncultured bacterium. RNAcentral describes it as "partial 16S ribosomal RNA". The record is from RNAcentral.